RNAcentral lists this unclassified non-coding RNA (874 nucleotides) under Hevea brasiliensis (rubber tree). Lineage: Eukaryota; Viridiplantae; Streptophyta; Magnoliopsida; Malpighiales; Euphorbiaceae. The record is from RNAcentral.
UGCUGUUUUUCCUGCACUGCAAGGAGGGCCACACAACAACCAUAUUGCUGCCCUCGCCAUAGCAUUGAAACAAGUGGCAACUCCUGAUUACAGGGCUUAUAUGCAACAAGUUAAGAGAAAUGCUCAGGCGUUGGCAGCUGCUUUAUUGAGAAGAAACUGCAGACUGGUUACUGGAGGGACUGACAAUCACAUGAUAUUGUGGGAUCUAAGAAACCUUGGGUUAACAGGCAAGAAUUUUGAGAAGGUCUGCGAGUUGUGUCACAUCACUCUCAACAAAGUAAUGGUCUUUGAUGAUAAUGGAAGUAUUACUCCUGGAGGUGUGAGGAUCGGGACCCCUGCUAUGACCUCACGAGGCUGUAUAGAGAAUGAUUUUGAUACGAUGGCAGAUUUCCUCCUCAAGGCAGCACAAAUUACAAAUUCGAUACAGAGAGAGCAUGGAAAGCUCGCUAAGGGUUUUCUGAAAGGCCUUGAGAACAAUAAAGAUGUUAUCGAGUUACGGACACGUGUUGAAAAUUUUGCAACCCUCUUUGCUAUGCCUGGGUUUGAAGUAUAAUGUAGCUGGAAAUGUAGUUCUGGUGGAGGAAUUCUUUCUUUAUUUGUUGACCAACCUUUGUUGUGGAUGGGGAGAACAGCGGUGCACCCAACUCGUGGUUAGUGAUUGAGUAGGCUAUGUGAUGUGUUCAAGUUUCCGUUGAGCUUAGCAGGCAUGGAUUAACUUAUGAUAUGCCACAAUGGAGUGUUUUGCAUCCUUAUCUACUGCCAUGGUAAAUUGAAGUAAUGGUCUGUGUCAGUUUUUUUUGUCAAGGGUUUUGGUAAAUUAAAUAGUGUCACUGUUUCAUUUUCCUAUAGCUAUUUUAAACACACUCGUUUCGGG